UUACGUCCAUAUCACAUUGAAACACCGGUUCGGGUACGAUCACCGAAGUUAAGCCACGAUGAGCCUGGUCAGUACCUAGAUGGGUGACCGCUUGAAAAUACCAGGUGCU
Non-coding RNA from Acanthosepion pharaonis, 109 nucleotides. The record is from the annotation of a GenBank genome assembly. Lineage: Eukaryota; Metazoa; Mollusca; Cephalopoda; Sepiida; Sepiidae.